ACGUGGGUGACCUGCCCUCCACUCUGGGAUAAGCCUGGGAAACUGGGUCUAAUACCGGAUAUGACUCAUGAUCGCAUGGUUGUGGGUGGAAAGUUUGUUCUUAAUUGGACACUUUGGUGGGGGAUGGGCCCGCGGCCUAUCAGCUUGUUGGUGGGGUGAUGGCCUACCAAGGCGACGACGGGUAGCCGGCCCGAGAGGGCGACCGGCCACACUGGGACUGAGACACGGCCCAGACUCCUACGGGAGGCAGCAGUGGGGAAUAUUGCGCAAUGGGCGGAAGCCUGACGCAGCGACGCCGCG
RNAcentral lists this ribosomal RNA (300 nucleotides) under uncultured Pseudonocardia sp. Its description in RNAcentral is "bacterial SSU rRNA". It matches the Rfam family "Bacterial small subunit ribosomal RNA", at positions 115 to 401 of the family's 1533-position model. The record is from RNAcentral. Lineage: Bacteria; Bacillati; Actinomycetota; Actinomycetes; Pseudonocardiales; Pseudonocardiaceae.